CGCGUAGGCGGCUAUUUAAGUCUGAUGUGAAAUCCCCGGGCUCAACCUGGGAAUGGCAUCGGAUACUGGGUAGCUAGAGUGCAGUAGAGGAAGGUGGAAUUCCAGGUGUAGCGGUGAAAUGCGUAGAGAUCUGGAGGAACACCAGUGGCGAAGGCGGCCUUCUGGACUGACACUGACGCUGAGUGCGAAAGCGUGGGGAUCAAACA
This 206-nucleotide ribosomal RNA is filed under the name uncultured bacterium. RNAcentral's name for it is "partial 16S ribosomal RNA". It matches the Rfam family "Bacterial small subunit ribosomal RNA", at positions 568 to 774 of the family's 1533-position model. The record is from RNAcentral.